UUCAUAAUAACUUAACGAAUCGCAUGGCCUUGCGCCGGCGAUGGUUCAUUCAAAUUUCUGCCCUAUCAACUUUCGAUGGUAGGAUAGUGGCCUACCAUGGUCUCAACGGGUAACGGGGAAUUAGGGUUCUAUUCCGGAGAGGGAGCCUGAGAAACGGCUACCACAUCCAAGGAAGGCAGCAGGCGCGCAAAUUACCCAAUCCCAAUUCGGGGAGGUAGUGACAAUAAAUACUGAUACAGGGCUCUUUUGGGUCUUGUAAUUGGAAUGAGUACAAUCUAAAUCCCUUAACGAGGAACAAUUGGAGGGCAAGUCUGGUGCCAGCAGCCGCGGUAAUUCCAGCUCCAAUAGGCGUAUAUUAAAGUUGUUGCCGUUAAAAAGCUCGUAGUUGAACCUUGGGUCUGGCCGAUCUGUCCUCCUAAUCGAGCGUACGGAUUCGGUCGGACCUUUCCUUCUGGGGAGCCCGAUGCCCUUCACUGGGCGUCGUGGGGAACCAGGACUUUUACCUUGAAAAAAUUAGAGUGUUCAAAGCAGGCCUUUGCUCGAAUACAUUAGCAUGGAAUAAUAAAAUAGGACAGAGGUUCUAUUUUGUUGGUUUCUAGGACCGCUGUAAUGAUUAAUAGGGAUAGUCGGGGGCGUCCGUAUUCAAUUGUCAGAGGUGAAAUUCUUGGAUUUAUUGAAGACGAACUACUGCGAAAGCAUUCGCCAAGGAUGUUUUCAUUAAUCAGUGAACGAAAGUUAGGGGAUCGAAGACGAUCAGAUACCGUCGUAGUCUUAACCAUAAACUAUGCCGACUAGGGAUCGGACGGUGGUUUUUUUAUGCCCCGUUCGGCACCUUACGA
This 839-nucleotide ribosomal RNA is filed under the name Lithohypha catenulata. RNAcentral's name for it is "SSU rRNA". It matches the Rfam family "Eukaryotic small subunit ribosomal RNA", at positions 250 to 1093 of the family's 1831-position model. Lineage: Eukaryota; Fungi; Ascomycota; Eurotiomycetes; Chaetothyriales; Trichomeriaceae. The record is from RNAcentral.